This 242-nucleotide ribosomal RNA is filed under the name Metarhizium anisopliae. RNAcentral describes it as "partial large subunit ribosomal RNA". It matches the Rfam family "Eukaryotic large subunit ribosomal RNA", at positions 679 to 925 of the family's 3401-position model. The record is from RNAcentral. Lineage: Eukaryota; Fungi; Ascomycota; Sordariomycetes; Hypocreales; Clavicipitaceae.
UUCGUAUGCGAGUGUUCGGGUGUCAAACCCCUACGCGUAAUGAAAGUGAACGCAGGUGAGAGCNUUCNGGCGCAUCAUCGACCGAUCCUGAUGUUCUCGGAUGGAUUUGAGUAAGAGCAUACGGGGCCGGACCCGAAAGAAGGUGAACUAUGCCUGUAUAGGGUGAAGCCAGAGGAAACUCUGGUGGAGGCUCGCAGCGGUUCUGACGUGCAAAUCGAUCGUCAAAUAUGGGCAUGGGGGCG